GGGGGUUUAGCUCAGCGGCAUAAGCGCCUGCCUUGCAAGCAGGCAGUCAUGCGUUCAAUCCCUG
Transfer RNA from Cavia porcellus (domestic guinea pig), 64 nucleotides. It matches the Rfam family "tRNA". From Rfam's summary of the family: Transfer RNA (tRNA) molecules are approximately 80 nucleotides in length. Their secondary structure includes four short double-helical elements and three loops (D, anti-codon, and T loops). The record is from Rfam. Lineage: Eukaryota; Metazoa; Chordata; Mammalia; Rodentia; Caviidae.